UUGAACGCUGGCGGCAUGCCUUACACAUGCAAGUCGAACGGUAACAGGUCUUCGGAUGCUGACGAGUGGCGAACGGGUGAGUAAUACAUCGGAACGUGCCCAGACGUGGGGGAUAACGAGGCGAAAGCUUUGCUAAUACCGCAUACGAUCUAAGGAUGAAAGCAGGGGACCGCAAGGCCUUGCGCGUUGGGAGGGCCCGAUGGCAGAUUAGGUAGUUGGUGGGAUAAAAGCUUACCAAGCCGACGAUCUGUAGCUGGUCUGAGAGGACGACCAGCCACACUGGGACUGAGACACGGCCCAGACUCCUACGGGAGGCAGCAGUGGGGAAUUUUGGACAAUGGGCGAAAGCCUGAUCCAGCAAUGCCGCGUGCAGGAUGAAGGCCUUCGGGUUGUAAACUGCUUUUGUACGGAACGAAAAGGCUCUGGCUAAUACCUGGGGCACAUGACGGUACCGGAAGAAUAAGCACCGGCUAACUACGUG
This 481-nucleotide ribosomal RNA is filed under the name uncultured bacterium. Its description in RNAcentral is "partial 16S ribosomal RNA". It matches the Rfam family "Bacterial small subunit ribosomal RNA", at positions 30 to 507 of the family's 1533-position model. The record is from RNAcentral.